This is a long non-coding RNA of Brassica napus (rape), 4875 nucleotides long. RefSeq lists it as uncharacterized. NCBI's taxonomy places the organism in Eukaryota, Viridiplantae, Streptophyta, Magnoliopsida, Brassicales, Brassicaceae. The record is from RefSeq and is a predicted model, not a curated record. The transcript has 6 exons.
UCGCAAACCGGAUUGAGUAAAUUUGAAUGGUUGAUGCGUUUCUCUUCCGUCUUGAAGAGCAAAUUCAAUCCAGACUCCAAAAACCUUUUUGAGCUGAAAGACUUUGGUGCGUAGAAAGGUUAUCUGAAAAACCUAAAAUGCAGACACACGACGAUGCUCGAAAUCUUCCCCAUCGACAUGACAUCACCUUCUCUCGUCUCGGCGGUAAUGCAGAAUCUCAAGUACGAGCACACGGAAUGUUAAUAUGUUUCGCGUGUUCUACGUCUGAAUUCGAAUUUGUUUUCGAGAUUGUAGUUUUAAUUUGACUUCAAUUUUGUUUUUUUUUUCUUUUGGAUUCGAAUAAUGAUUUGGUGGAUUGGAGGAAGAAGGUGGCAGCGAUGAGUCAAAAUCUUGAAAGAGUUCUCAUUUGUGCUUAAAGACAUUGAAGUAAACACCAUAAGCAUGCGUGAGUUGGCUCUCUGUCUGAUGCUGAUUAGUGAUUUAGGAUGCACACCGGUCGUUUUCUCAUCCAAAUGACCCUUCUUUUACUUCCAGUGAUUGGUUGCUUAGAGGUCAAAAAGAUCUGAGAUUUCUUGGGAUGAGUGUGUUGAAGCACCUGUGGUAGAAGAAAAUAGCUGAUUCAGCUUUGCUAGAAUCAGGCCAGGAGAAUCAGACACAGAUGAGAGGUUCCACAACUCAAGUCUAAGGGAGUGGAGAAGAGAGGAAACAGAAUAUAGGAACAAGAUCCUUGAUGAUUUGUAUGGGGUUAAGGCAUUUUUGAACCAGCGUUUGAUAGAACUGAGACACGAAGAUAUCAUAUUUUCUGAUAUUUUCAGAAUUGUGGUACGGAUGCCUAGAUAGAAUUGUUUCCGAGCUAAAGGAGAAGAAGCACCAUGAAGUGAAGUUAAGAGAGAGAGCUUGAAAGAUCAGAAUUCACUCUCUCUCCAAUUUGGCUAUAACAGUAAAAAAUAUGUGUAUGAAGAAGAGAUACAGAAAAUGGUCAGUUGGAGAGGUGGGUGAAGGUAGGCGAGGAGGGGAAACGUGUGCGUGUUGAGUAGAAAGAUUUACUAAAAGGGUCCACCUCGGUCUUCUCCGCUACACUGCUUGCUGCUUCCUUGUUCUGUUUCUGUAUCAAUCCAGUGAGUGCUUCCACUAUUUCUGAAACCUCUGGUCUAAACUCCUCUGCCUGCUUGUUGGAAGAAUGAUUUAGCUAUUGUAUUUGCAAGUGAAGAAUCUACUGACAGUUACCUGAGUGCAUAGAGAGAUAAUGAAUGCGUAAUGUGAGGCGACUCUUAUGGAGAAUGUGCCGACUAUGCCUUGAUCAAUCAUAUGUUCUAAGCUUCUCUUAUCAUGAAGUCUGGUUGAUGCCCAUUUCACCAGUAGCUGUUCUCCUUGGGGGCGUGAGCUGCAAAUAAUUUUCUUAAGCUUGUCUAUUGCAACCGAGCAAGUAUGUGAAAGGCUUGUGAGUACCUGUCAAAUGCUUUACUUCCUGUUAACAGUUCCAAGAGUAGCACACCCAGUGCAUAAGUGUCGCUCUUUGUGCCGCUGCUUCCUGGCUGUCCAUGUUCUGGUGCUAUGUAGCCAGUGUUUUGUAUGGCUAUCUCUGAAGCCUGCUUCAGACAUUAGGUAUCAAGUCAAAGAACAAAGCGAGAUAGAAUGUAACGUUCUUCACUUACCCGAAGCUUGACACUGUUGCUUGUGAGUGGCCUUAAACUAGCAAGCCCACAGUCAGCAAUCCGAGGCGUGAGUUCUUCGUCUAGUAAGAUGUUUGUUGCUUUCAGGUCGCUAUGGGCAAUAGGAGGGCUAAACGAGGAGUGCAAAUAGCUGAAAAUUUUGAUUCACCAGAUAGUGAGUGAUGUACCAAAAUGAGUAAGCUAUUAUAUAUGUUUGAGAAGAUCAGGAUACUUACUCCAGAGCUCGGGCAACUCCGAUAGCAAUGUGGAGACGGAAUCCCCAAGAAAGUGGCUUGUAUACAUCAUCAUGCAUAGCAUUGUACAGCGACAAAUGCCCGGCAUACUCAUAGACAAGAAGAUGCUUCCCAUUAUCAAUGCAGAAACCGAGAAGUGUCACAAUGUUUGGGUGUCUUAGUUUGGAGGCUGUUUGGAGAAGUUCAGUAAAUUUUUCCUCUUCAUGUAAAGACAGCGAAGACAUUGGGAUGUUUCUCACAGCGGCCAACUGUUUUAAAGAAAAAACACCAGUGAAUGACAAUGGAAGUGAAUUUUUGAAGAGAGAGAAGAGAAGUUAUACUUGACCAUCAGGCAACUUUGCUCUGUAAACAGAACCAAGAGGACCCUCUUCGAGUAGGUUUUCAUCACUGAAACUGUUAGUUGCCAGUUCAAGCUCUGCAGCUGAGAAAAGCUUCGCGUAUGCUGGAUAUUGGCAUGUAGCAGAGAAGCUGUUUCGUCUUGCUGUUUUAUCGGUUCUGACAGGUGGAGGAGGUAUAUGUCGCAGCUGAGGAACUGGCGGUGCAAUAGAAAAUUCUGUUAAAUCUGAAGUUAAAAAAAUCAGUCCUGAGGAAUCAGAAUGGCUAUGGUGAUAACCGAUAAUGAGGGGAGAGAAAGGUAUAGAUCACCUCGGUUUGUACUGACUGGAAGAGAGUAUGUUGUGCUAUUGCUGCUUCUUUGACUAGCUGCAAGGUUCUGUGAACGUCGAUGAUGACUCAUUCGAACUGCAAAAACUGCAAAGAAAGUUCCAAGCAAAGCCAGUCCGCCAACCAGCAAAACAAUACUCACUGCUCCUAAUCCCUUCUUCUUCUUUCUGACCUUCUGAGGUCUGGGAAAGUCCAAGAUGGCACUUGACUGAGUAGUUGGAUAGCCACGAGCAUUCUGAAUCAUCGGUACAACAUCCAGAGGGAACUUCCACGGUUUAUAGUUGGGCUCUACGUGAAACUUGUUUCCCCAUAUCCUGCUCAGCAAACACCAUUGAUUAUCCCCAGUCUUAGGUGUCUUGAGCCAAUUUUUUGAGAAGAGGGGAGAGUAGUAACUCACCACAGAUGAGGAAUGGACUGAAAGCUACUAGGGAAGAUACCACUGAACUGGUUAUCUUCGAUAUUCCUGAAGACAUGUGCAACAACGAAGCGUUUUUGAGAUCAUCAACAUAAAGGAUGCUCAUUGAAAUGCAAAAUCAAAGCACAGAGAGAGAGAGAGUUAGCUACAGGUCAGUUAAAGGAAGAUCCGCGAGGUAGAUGAUUGAUCCUGUAAACCUGUUGUGCUGGAGGUACCUGUAGUUUUGUUAUUAGGUUACACCUACGUGCACAGAGCUGAUUGCAGAUAAAGAUUUCGAGAUAACUUACAAUGAGUUCAGAUUCAUCAGAGUUCCAAAAGAGCUCGGUAAAUCUCCCGUCAAGUUGUUGAAUGAGAGAUCCCUGGCAAAGUCAAGAUAAUUUGAAGAAUGAAUGGAGCAUCUUGCAUCUACAUAUCACGAUGAAAGGCUAACUGAAGACUCACAUUUCUUUAAUCUGUAACCCGGAAAACACAUUUGCUAGAGGUCCAGAUAAUGAAUUAUGGCUCAGGUUCCUAGAGACAGAGCAAGCCAUUACUUAACAAAUCAGGAGAAAGGAAGGUUAGUUUGUUAUAAGCCAUUUGGAAUAAGCUACUUACAGGAAGAGGAGAGAUGUCAUGAGAGGUAACGAAAAGAGGAGACUCUGAGUCAGAUUGUUAUAAGCCAUGUUUCUGUAAUCAAACAAACAAAGGAGAAAAUCUCCUGAACUGCACUCUGCUGGUGUAAGCUUUAAAUAAUGAAUGAACAACGCUUACAAAUGGGUAGCGUUUGGAGGCAAGCCAAAAGGAAUGUCACCUUGGAGGUUAUUGAAGCUAACAUCCCUAUCACAAAGAAAAGUGAUUCAGUCUCAUGAUGGAGUUAGCAUGAAGAAGAGGAAACUUUGCUUUACAUAUUCUUUAAACUGUGGAGACGGUGAAGGUUGUUUCCAAGACUUCCCAAAAGACUAAGCCCUCGUAGCUGCCUGCGAGAUCAUAUGAAUCAGAUUGUUUUUGUUCGCAACUAUGAUAAUAAUACUGUGGGGAGAGAAUUUACAAGGCUACUAUAGACGAUCCAGAACAGUAAACUCCCAUCCAGAGUUCUCCGCAUGGAUCUCCUCCUCCCUCGAAUCUCCAUCCUCUCAGCUGCUGUGGAUUGUUUAAAGACUUGUGGAGAUCUUCAAGAGCCGAAACUAACGAAGAAACAAGUAACGUCAAAGGAUCUAAGCAACGCGAUUUAAACCCCAAGAAUCAGGUGAGAAUCUGGAUAAUUACCUUCGAGUGGAUUAGUAUAGGUCUCAGCUAGCGUAAACAGCAUCACCGUGGAGAUAACUGCAGCGAGGUAACGCGAUUGCUGUUUGGUUGUCAUCUCUAGGAAGUUUCUCUCGCUUUCCGGGAAAGUUUCGGAGGAGAGAAAGAUCAAAACAGAGCGGAAGCGUAAAACGCGCGAAGAUUCCACGUCAGCAAAAGCGGUUAUGGACGUUGGAGUCAACAAGUCAACUAGUCAUACCGUAUACGGGCCUCGCUAUGCCACGUGGUGGCCGUAUUUUUCAGCUAAUCUUAAUCUAAACCAUCAAAAAUGAUCAUAGCUCAUUGGAAUGAGCAUGAAAUGGAUGGACCACUUAUCAACCACUUCCAGGUGCGGGCACAAAGCCAAUGGUACGUGGUCCCGUGCCCCGUCUUAUUUUUAACUUUUCCUAUAGUAAUUAGUAUAAAAUCUGAUGAAUGUCACACUUGGAAAAUUAAACAUAAUGUAAGAAGGUCAUGUGCCCCAUUUAAAUAUAGUCCUAGAUGGCUAGAUCCGCUCCCGACCACUUCCAUGCAUAGAUUUUAUGCAGCAGGAUUGAGGUGUUUUUACCUUCCUUUCAUCCUGCUUUUGUAAACAUCGUCAAACAUAUCAAAAGCCCACUUGCUAUUAUGA